GAUGAACGCUAGCGGCAGGCCUAAUACAUGCAAGUCGAACGAGAUUAAGGGGCUUGCUCCUUAUGAAAGUGGCGCACGGGUGCGUAACGCGUAUGCAACCUACCUUAAUCAGGGGGAUAGCCCGAAGAAAUUCGGAUUAAGACCGCAUAAAAACACAGGAUAGCAUUAUCCAAUGUUCAAAUAUUUAUAGGAUUAAGAUGGGCAUGCGUGUCAUUAGCUAGUUGGCGGGGUAACGGCCCACCAAGGCGACGAUGACUAGGGGAUCUGAGAGGAUGACCCCCCACACUGGUACUGAGACACGGACCAG
This 307-nucleotide ribosomal RNA is filed under the name uncultured bacterium. RNAcentral's name for it is "bacterial SSU rRNA". It matches the Rfam family "Bacterial small subunit ribosomal RNA", at positions 28 to 334 of the family's 1533-position model. The record is from RNAcentral.